CCUUGAUGUGUAGGAUAGGUGGGAGGCUUUGAAGUGUGGACGCCAGUCUGCAUGGAGCCGACCUUGAAAUACCACCCUUUAAUGUUUGAUGUUCUAACGUGGACCCGUAAUCCGGGUUGCGGACAGUGUCUGGUGGGUAGUUUGACUGGGGCGGUCUCCUCCUAAAGAGUAACGGAGGAGCACGAAGGUUGGCUAAUCCUGGUCGGACAUCAGGAGGUUAGUGCAAUGGCAUAAGCCAGCUUGACUGCGAGCGUGACGGCGCGAGCAGGUGCGAAAGCAGGUCAUAGUGAUCCGGUGGUUCUGAAUGGAAGGGCCAUCGCUCAACGGAUAAAAGGUACUCCGGGGAUAACAGGCUGAUACCGCCCAAGAGUUCAUAUCGACGGCGGUGUUUGGCACCUCGAUGUCGGCUCAUCACAUCCUGGGGCUGAAGUAGGUCCCAAGGGUAUGGCUGUUCGCCAUUUAAAGUGGUACGCGAGCUGGGUUUAGAACGUCGUGAGACAGUUCGGUCCCUAUCUGCCGUGGGCGCUGGAGAACUGAGGGGGGCUGCUCCUAGUACGAGAGGACCGGAGUGGACGCAUCACUGGUGUUCGGGUUGUCAUGCCAAUGGCACUGCCCGGUAGCUAAAUGCGGAAGAGAUAAGUGCUGAAAGCAUCUAAGCACGAAACUUGCCCCGAGAUGAGUUCUCCCUGAGACUUAG
This 697-nucleotide ribosomal RNA is filed under the name Salmonella enterica. RNAcentral's name for it is "partial 23S ribosomal RNA". It matches the Rfam family "Bacterial large subunit ribosomal RNA", at positions 2129 to 2824 of the family's 2925-position model. Lineage: Bacteria; Pseudomonadati; Pseudomonadota; Gammaproteobacteria; Enterobacterales; Enterobacteriaceae. The record is from RNAcentral.